This is a non-coding RNA of Ailuropoda melanoleuca (giant panda), 546 nucleotides long. The record is from the annotation of a RefSeq genome assembly. Lineage: Eukaryota; Metazoa; Chordata; Mammalia; Carnivora; Ursidae.
UGAAACAGGGCCAGGGAGAGGUCAAAGAUCUGGGGUCUCAUUUGCAUAGACAGGCCCUCCCUCUCUCAGAGGAUGAAGAAGGAAAGGGAGAGAUGAGGGGAGGCUCUGCUCAGCUGUGAGGCACAGAAGUCAGGACCAGGGAUGACCUCCACCAUGGCCUGGUCCCCUCUCCUCCUCACCCUCCUCGCUCACUGCACAGGGUCCUGGGCCCAGUCUGUGCUGACUCAGCCGACCUCCGUGUCUGGGGCCCUGGGCCAGAAGGUCACCAUCUCCUGCACUGGAAGCAGCUCCAAUAUCGGGGGUGGUAAUUAUGUGAGCUGGCACCAACAGCUCCCAGGAACCGCCCCCAGAACGGUCAUCUAUGGUAAUAACAACCGACCAUCGGGGAUCCCGGAUCGAUUCUCUGGCUCCAAGUCUGGCAGCUCAGCCACCCUGACCAUCACUGGGCUCCAGGCUGAGGACGAGGCGAAUUAUUACUGCUCAUCGUGGGAUGACAGAUUCAGAAGUCAUACAGUGCUCCAGGCCUGAGGUGAAGUGAGGCGAAAA